UGGCGGCGUGCUUAACACAUGCAAGUCGAACGGAGUGAAGAGGAGCUUGCUCCUUGGAACUUAGUGGCAAACGGGUGAGUAACGCGUAGGCAACCUGCCCUUCAGAUGGGGACAACAUUUCGAAAGGAAUGCUAAUACCGAAUGAUGUGCAUUGGUCGCAUGACCGAUGUACCAAAGGCCGGGCAACCGGUCACUGAAGGAUGGGCCUGCGUCUGAUUAGCUAGUUGGUGGGGUAACGGCCCACCAAGGCGACGAUCAGUAGCCGGUCUGAGAGGAUGAACGGCCACAUUGGGACUGAGACACGGCCCAAACUCCUACGGGAGGCAGCAGUGGGGAAUCUUCCGCAAUGGGCGCAAGCCUGACGGAGCAACGCCGCGUGAGUGAAGAAAGGUUUUCGGAUCGUAAAGCUCUGUUGUCAGGGACGAGAGACUUGAUCAGGAAAUGGGUCAAGGAGGACGGUACCUGGCGAGAAAGCCACGGCUAACUACGUGCCAGCCGCAGC
Molecule: ribosomal RNA, 502 nt
Filed under: uncultured bacterium
Lineage: Bacteria
Description: bacterial SSU rRNA
Rfam family: Bacterial small subunit ribosomal RNA
Source: RNAcentral